Molecule: ribosomal RNA, 404 nt
Filed under: uncultured bacterium
Lineage: Bacteria
Description: bacterial SSU rRNA
Rfam family: Bacterial small subunit ribosomal RNA
Source: RNAcentral
AGAGUUUGAUCCUGGCUCAGAUUGAACGCUGGCGGCAGGCUUAACACAUGCAAGUCGAGCGGUAGCACAAGGGAGCUUGCUCCCUGGGUGACGAGCGGCGGACGGGUGAGUAAUGCCUGGGAAACUGCCUGAUGGAGGGGGAUAACUACUGGAAACGGUAGCUAAUACCGCAUAACGUCGCAAGACCAAAGAGGGGGACCUUCGGGCCUCUUGCCAUCAGAUGUGCCCAGAUGGGAUUAGCUAGUAGGUGGGGUAAUGGCUCACCUAGGCGACGAUCCCUAGCUGGUCUGAGAGGAUGACCAGCCACACUGGAACUGAGACACGGUCCAGACUCCUACGGGAGGCAGCAGUGGGGAAUAUUGCACAAUGGGCGCAAGCCUGAUGCAGCCAUGCCGCGUGUGUGA